UGGGGAAUCUUAGACAAUGGGCGAAAGCCUGAUCUAGCCAUGCCGCGUGAGUGAUGAAGGCCCUAGGGUCGUAAAGCUCUUUCAACUGUGAAGAUAAUGACGGUAGCAGUAGAAGAAACCCCGGCUAACUCCGUGCCAGCAGCCGCGGUAAUACGGAGGGGGUUAGCGUUGUUCGGAAUUACUGGGCGUAAAGCGUACGUAGGCGGAUUAAUAAGUUAGAGGUGAAAUCCCAGGGCUCAACCCUGGAACUGCCUUUAAAACUGUUAGUCUUGAGAUCGAGAGAGGUGAGUGGAAUUCCAAGUGUAGAGGUGAAAUUCGUAGAUAUUUGGAGGAACACCAGUGGCGAAGGCGGCUCACUGGCUCGAUACUGACGCUGAGGUACGAAAGUGUGGGGAGCAAACAGGAUUAGAUACCCUGGUAGUCCACACCGUAAACGAUGAAUGCCAGACGUCAGCAAGCAUGCUUGUUGGUGUCACACCUA
RNAcentral lists this ribosomal RNA (481 nucleotides) under uncultured Paracoccaceae bacterium. RNAcentral describes it as "bacterial SSU rRNA". It matches the Rfam family "Bacterial small subunit ribosomal RNA", at positions 355 to 854 of the family's 1533-position model. Lineage: Bacteria; Pseudomonadati; Pseudomonadota; Alphaproteobacteria; Rhodobacterales; Paracoccaceae. The record is from RNAcentral.